GGCAGAAUCUGGGCUCAGAGUCUAGCCCUGCAGGACCCAGUGUGGCAGCUGCGUGUCUCUGGAGCACUGGAGAGGGGGCUACUGCAAAUUAAGAUCUGCUGUAAAGAGCAUCUUCCUGGUUAUUCUCUGGGACGCAAAACCAUGGUGGUAUCUGAUCUCAUCACACUUCUGCCAGGAGGUGAAAUCGAAGAGGCUACAUUCUUGAUGCUCAGUGUCUUCUUCAGGUCAUUUGCCUGAGGACACCUGGGGAUACUGAGCUCUCUUCAUGUGACAAAGAAACUUCCUAAAAUACUAAAAGCUAAAGGAGAUUGUUAUCUAAGCUUGAGAUGGAAGGUUGCCAGCGGAAACUUGGAGGAUCACAGCCAGUCGCCUGGGAUUGACCACAGGGAGUGGCAGAGGCAGAAAGCAAAAGACCAGUUGCAAUUAUCCAGGUAAAAGAUGGAGGCUGUUGCAAUAAUCCAGAAUCCUGAAUUGAGCCUGUGUUCCCAGUUCCUAGAAACCCUCAAGGUUAUUGGUUUCCUCCUCGCUUAAUAGACCAGUGGAAGAAAUCUACCUCCAGUUCUAUCUUCACAUGAGCAACUGUUUACAGUUUACAAUAUUACUCUGAAAAUCAGUUCUUUUCAAGUUUUAUCUAACACCCACCAGAAGAAACAGAAGAUUAUGAAAAUGGAAUUUGUCAAAGUUCCUCUCCCAACAAUAUGAUAUUUAAUUUUGCUAACAUUUUUUUUUGAACACUUACUAUAUUGCAGACAAUGGUCUAAGUAAAGCAUUUUAUGUGCAUCCUAUCAUGUCAUCAUCACACAGCCCUGUGAGGUAGAUACUAUUAUUAUUAACCACAUUUCACAUUCAAAAAAACUGAGGCUUAGAGAGACUAAGUAAAUUGUCCAAGGUCACACAGCCAUGAAGUGGCAGAGCUGUGGUUAAAACCUAUGUCUGUCUGAUGUUUAAGAUUUUGCUGUUAGCAUUACUUUGAAAUGACAAUAUGAGGGCAUUUUAUGUAUUUUUUUUGCCCCAAUAUGAUCUGCAGAAACUAUGUAUUUUAAGUACUACAUUUCUUUUAUUUACCAAAUUAUUGUCAGAUAAGAAACCGAAAUAAAAGUUUACAGGGUCUAGGAUUCCUCCAUAAUGAAUGAACUUUGGGGUAUUUCAGUGACAAAUUGGCUUUAACGCGAUCAAAUUCCAUCCUACAAUGAAAGUGUGUUAGUUUGUGGUUUCAAGUUUAAAAACAGCACUGUAUUGUCUUCCAGAAAUAUAUAAAUAGAAAUUCAAGAAGUAUUUCAAUGAAUACAGAUAAAAUUAGUUUUGUUAGAACAUCAAAUAUGUGGGUUUCAUUUCUUAGCUCAGUUUAGAAACUGUAAUUUCAAUUUUUUUUAGCAGCUGUGGUAAAUUUUGAGAUUUGAAAUUUCAUAUAAUAUAAAUCCUCAUUUAUUGAGCAUUUAAAUUAUAUGCCCAACAAUUUACUGUGUACAUUACUUCACUUGUUCUUAACUAUAACUCUACAAAAUAUUAUUGUCCUUGAUUUAUAGAUGAAGAUAUUGAGACUCAGUUAAGUAACUUGCUUGAAAUUCAAAAACGUUAACUGUGGAAGGCAGUAUUUGAACCCAGUGUUCAAAACCCCAUGCUCUUUUUAUUAUAUGACCUUAUUUCCUAUUCAGUCUUCAGAAGAUAUAUUGUCUUAUUAGAUUAUUCUCGUUCUCUAAAUAAGUGACCUUGGGCAACUAUCUUUUUCCCUGGUAUUUUCCCCUGCCUUUAAAACAAUGUGAUCAAACUGGAAGUUUUUCACGAUCUCUCUUAGCCCUAAAGCUCCUUGGUUCUGUAAUUCCACCAAUAGCCCAUUUCAAAAAUAA
Homo sapiens (human) is the source of this 1847-nucleotide long non-coding RNA. Ensembl annotates it as long intergenic non-protein coding RNA 1844. The record is from Ensembl. NCBI's taxonomy places the organism in Eukaryota, Metazoa, Chordata, Mammalia, Primates, Hominidae.